RNAcentral lists this ribosomal RNA (468 nucleotides) under uncultured bacterium. RNAcentral describes it as "bacterial SSU rRNA". It matches the Rfam family "Bacterial small subunit ribosomal RNA", at positions 28 to 507 of the family's 1533-position model. The record is from RNAcentral.
GACGAACGCUGGCGGCGUGCUUAACACAUGCAAGUCGAACGGUGACGAGGAGCUUGCUCCUCCGAUCAGUGGCGAACGGGUGAGUAACACGUGAGUAACCUGCCCCAGACCCUGGGAUAACAGUUGGAAACAGCUGCUAAUACCGGAGUACGAGACGGAGAGGCAUCUCUACCGUCUGGAAAGAUUUAUCGGUCUGGGAUGGACUCGCGGCCUAUCAGCUUGUUGGUGAGGUAAAGGCUCACCAAGGCGACGACGGGUAGCCGGCCUGAGAGGGCGACCGGCCACACUGGGACUGAGACACGGCCCAGACUCCUACGGGAGGCAGCAGUGGGGAAUAUUGCACAAUGGGCGAAAGCCUGAUGCAGCGACGCCGCGUGAGGGAUGACGGCCUUCGGGUUGUAAACCUCUUUCAGCAGGGAAGAAGCGAAAGUGACGGUACCUGCAGAAGAAGCACCGGCUAACUACGUG